ACUGGAACUUGAUCCAUUGUUCAUGCCGCAAUGGCCAUCGCCACCGCCACCGUCGCCGCCAUCAGGAUCUGGUAUGCUUGUGCCGUGAUUCUGUCCGACGCGCGAGACGUGGAGGGAGAUGGAGCAGGACUGACAGGUGGCGGAGGAGGUGGUGUAGCAGGAGUGGAGGGUGAUGGUGGUGGCGAGGUAGGAGGUGAAGCAGGAGCGACGGGUGUUGGUGGUGUGGGAGGUGAGGUAGGAGGAGAAGCAGGACUGAGGGGUGGUGGAGGAGGAGGAGGUGGUGUAGCGGGAGCGGAGGGCGAUGGUGGUGGUGAGGUAGGAGGUGAAGCAGGAGCGAAGGGUGGUGUGGGAGGUGAGGUAGGAGGAGAAGCAGGACUGAGGGGUGGUGGAGAUGGAGGUGGUGAAGCAGGACCAGAGGGUGGUGAGGCAGGAGGCGAAGCAGGGCUGAUGGCUGCUGGAAGAAUAUUGACGACGAGCUUCUGGCCCCUGGUGCAGUGAUCACCAAACCCACACAUGUACCAUCUCCUUCCAGGAGUGUCCAAAGCCACCAAAUCAUUGCCGCUGGUGAAGGUGUUGAUUGCUACUGCUGAUGUAUUGCAUACCUUGAAGUCUGGUCCCCCGACCUGCAUGACAUUGUGAGCCCCUUGCAUGUACUUG
RNAcentral lists this long non-coding RNA (657 nucleotides) under Musa acuminata (dwarf banana). RNAcentral describes it as "long non-coding RNA (MACU_LNC002348)". Lineage: Eukaryota; Viridiplantae; Streptophyta; Magnoliopsida; Zingiberales; Musaceae. The record is from RNAcentral.